This 1302-nucleotide long non-coding RNA is filed under the name Homo sapiens (human). Its description in RNAcentral is "HSALNT0367953". Lineage: Eukaryota; Metazoa; Chordata; Mammalia; Primates; Hominidae. The record is from RNAcentral.
GAAGGAGGGUGGAGGAAGGAGCUUGUAAAUGAGCAGCUGGUUUGCAGCAAAACCGCACCUCACUCUGCACCUUUGGAUCCCUCUCAGCCUGAGGUUAGCACAGCCAAUGUCCUCACCAGCGUCUGCCAAAGCCCAUGGAGAAGGCCAGCAGGAGCAUAUCACUGUGACUUACAACCCUUCUCUAGUCUGCUACAAUGGAAUCUUAAACAAGAAAAUUUUAUAUUUUGACUUGCAUCAUUGAGAAAAACACUGCCAACCUGAUCGUGGUUCCUUUGAAGCUGUGUCAUGCAGUCUGUGCACUGCAUAGAGGCUCCUGAAGGGAAGAAUAGAUGCUGAAAUCUGGCCUGCACUCAACUGACCAAGCUGUGUAUCCUGGCGAGGGGCUGUGUGAAUUCAGAAGAAGUGGUGCCUUUGUGUAUGUUCAUUGCAGCACUAUUCACAAUAGCAAAGACAUGUAAUCAACCUAAAUGCCCAUCAGUGAUAAACUGGAUAAAGAAAAUGUGGUACAUAUACACCAUGGAAUACUAUGCAGCCAUAAAAAGGAGCAAGAUCACGUCCUUUGUAGGGACAUGGAUGGAGUUGGAAGCCGUUAUCCUCAACAAACUAAUGCAGGAACAGAAAACCAAACACUGCCUGUUCUCACUUAUAAUUGGGAGCUGAAUGAUGAGAACACAUGGACACACAGAGGGGAACAACACACACUGGGGCCCAUUGGGGACUGGGGGGAGGGAGAGCAUCAGGAAGAAUAGCUAAUGGUUGCUUGGCUUAAAUACCUAGGUGAUGGGAUGAUCUGUGCAGAAAACUACCAUGGCACAUCUUUACCUAUGUAACAAGCCUGCACAUCCUGCACAUGAACCCCUCAACUUAAAAUAAAAGUUGAAGGAAAAAAAAGCUGUGCCUUUUUUCUAAUUCUUCCCUGAGAGGGAGUGACUUUUUAUAAUUAGCCUAAAGUUUCCAUAUGUGUUAGAGAAGCCUUGCUGGCUAGGAAGUUCUGGACAUGAGACUAUUUAAAUUUCAGCAUUUAGAAGUUUUUGUCUCAUAAGAUUGAUGAAGUCUUUAAAUAGUAAUAAAAAAGCCUAUGUUACUCUAAGUGGGUUCUAGCAACAAAAAGGCAAUAAGGCAUUUCCUUGAAUGCAACGAUACUCAAAGUGUGGCCUACAGACCACCAGGAGCAGCAUCACCUGGGAGUUUGAUAGAGAUGCAAACUGUUGAGGUUCAUCCCAAAUCUAGGGAAUCAUGAACUCCAGGGAUGGGGCUCAGAAAUCAGUGUUUUAAAAAACCCUCCAUGGUAUUCUGAUGCAC